ACGCUCGACACCUACGGGAGCAGCAGUGGGGAAUAUUGGGCAAUGGGCGCAAGCCUGACCCAGCAACGCCGCGUGAAGGAAGAAGGCUUUCGGGUUGUAAACUUCUUUUAUUAAGGACGAAGCAAUGACGGUACUUAAUGAAUAAGCUCCGGCUAACUACGUGCCUGCAGCCGCGGUAAUCUGAGCGGGCUGGCAAGGC
This 199-nucleotide ribosomal RNA is filed under the name uncultured bacterium. RNAcentral describes it as "partial 16S ribosomal RNA". It matches the Rfam family "Bacterial small subunit ribosomal RNA", at positions 328 to 539 of the family's 1533-position model. The record is from RNAcentral.